This 497-nucleotide ribosomal RNA is filed under the name uncultured bacterium. RNAcentral describes it as "partial 16S ribosomal RNA". It matches the Rfam family "Bacterial small subunit ribosomal RNA", at positions 28 to 507 of the family's 1533-position model. The record is from RNAcentral.
GAUGAACGCUGGCGGCGUGCCUAAUACAUGCAAGUCGAGCGAACAGAUGAGGAGCUUGCUCCUCUGACGUUAGCGGCGGACGGGUGAGUAACACGUGGAUAACCUACCUAUAAGACUGGGAUAACUUCGGGAAACCGGAGCUAAUACCGGAUAAUAUAUUGAACCGCAGGGUUCAAUGGUGAAAUACGGCUUUGCUGUCACUUAUAGAUGGUUCUGCGCCGCAUUAGCUGGUUGGUAGGGUCACGGCUUAUCAAGGCAAGCAUGCGUAGCCGACCUGAGAGGGGGAUCGGCGACACUGGAACGGAGACGCGGUCCAGACGCCUGCGGGAGGCAGCAGUAGGGAAUCUUCCGCAAUAGGCGGAAGCCUGACGGAGCGACGCCGCGUGAGUGAUAGAGGUCUUCGGAGCGGAAAACUCUGUUAUUGGGGAAGAACAAAUGUGGAAGGAACUAUACACGUCUUGACGGUACCUAAUCAGAAAGCCACGGCUAACUACGUG